This 274-nucleotide ribosomal RNA is filed under the name uncultured bacterium. RNAcentral describes it as "partial 16S ribosomal RNA". It matches the Rfam family "Bacterial small subunit ribosomal RNA", at positions 523 to 796 of the family's 1533-position model. The record is from RNAcentral.
AUACGGAGGGGGCUAGCGUUGUUCGGAAUUACUGGGCGUAAAGCGCGUGUAGGCGGAUCGUUAAGUCAGGGAUGAAAGCCCGGGGCUCAACCCCGGAACUGCCCUUGAUACUGGCGAUCUAGAGUCCGGAAGAGGUGGGCGGAAUUCCCGGUGUAGAGGUGAAAUUCGUAGAUAUCGGGAGGAACACCAGUGGCGAAGGCGGCUCACUGGUCCGGCACUGACGCUGAGACGCGAAAGCGUGGGGAGCAAACAGGAUUAGAUACCCUAGUAGUCC